AGAGUUUGAUCCUGGCUCAGGAUGAACGCUAGCUACAGGCUUAACACAUGCAAGUCGAGGGGAAACGAUAGAGAAAGCUUGCUUUUUCUAGGCGUCGACCGGCGCACGGGUAAGUAACGCGUAUCCAACCUGCCUAUCACUUGGGGAUAACUUUGCGAAAGUAAGACUAAUACCCAAUGACGUCUCUAGAAGACAUCUGAAGGAGAUAAAGAUUUAUCGGUGAUGGAUGGGGAUGCGUCUGAUUAGCUUGUUGGCGGGGUAACGGCCCACCAAGGCGACGAUCAGUAGGGGUUCUGAGAGGAAGGUCCCCCACAUUGGAACUGAGACACGGUCCAAACUCCUACGGGAGGCAGCAGUGAGGAAUAUUGGUCAAUGGACGAGAGUCUGAACCAGCCAAGUAGCGUGCAGGAUGACGGCCCUAUGGGUUGUAAACUGCUUUUAUAAGGGAAUAAAGUGAGUCUCGUGAGACUUUUUGCAUGUACCUUAUGAAUAAGGACCGGCUAAUUCCGUGCCAGCAGCCGCGGUAAUACGGAAGGUCCGGGCGUUAUCCGGAUUUAUUGGGUUUAAAGGGAGCGUAGGCCGGAGAUUAAGCGUGUUGUGAAAUGUAGACGCUCAACGUCUGCACUGCAGCGCGAACUGGUUUCCUUGAGUACGCACAAGGUGGGCGGAAUUCGUGGUGUAGCGGUGAAAUGCUUAGAUAUCACGAAGAACUCCGAUUGCGAAGGCAGCUCACUGGAGCGCAACUGACGCUGAAGCUCGAAAGUGCGGGUAUCGAACAGGAUUAGAUACCCUGGUAGUCCGCACGGUAAACGAUGGAUGCCCGCUGUUGGUCUGAAUAGGUCAGCGGCCAAGCGAAAGCAUUAAGCAUCCCACCUGGGGAGUACGCCGGCAACGGUGAAACUCAAAGGAAUUGACG
This 916-nucleotide ribosomal RNA is filed under the name uncultured bacterium. Its description in RNAcentral is "bacterial SSU rRNA". It matches the Rfam family "Bacterial small subunit ribosomal RNA", at positions 8 to 915 of the family's 1533-position model. The record is from RNAcentral.